Onychostoma macrolepis is the source of this 1148-nucleotide long non-coding RNA. RefSeq lists it as uncharacterized. Lineage: Eukaryota; Metazoa; Chordata; Actinopteri; Cypriniformes; Cyprinidae. The transcript has 3 exons. The record is from RefSeq and is a predicted model, not a curated record.
CAAGAAAGACCCAGGCCAGGUAGCUUAAUGAAAUUUAAAACCAUUCACCAUAGAGAAUGCAAUUACCUCAAUGAGAGCUAGUCCCCUGUUGUCUUUGAUUAAUAUGCUAAUUCCAUUGCAAAGACAUCAACUAUUGCGUUCUGCCGUUCGGGUCAUUUGUAUGCCUCGCGACGCCCCGAAGAAUCAGGCGAUUGUAGGCUGCUUGAGUCAGACACUGUUUGCCAUUUGUUGCCCACCGAAAGGCUUCCUGAUUCAUUAGCAGCACGCACUCUGUGUUAAUACCCAUUAACUCUUCAUAGCAUUCUCUGUAAUUGAAACCCAACUGGCCUCAACACUUGCGCGCGACGACUUGACAUCGCUUUCACGAGAACAUAAUGAAUACAUUGCUAAUUUAUCCUCUCAAGCGCUCGCGUACCGCACCGGCGUCGUAAUGAGGCAGUUCCAGCUCGGUUCGCGACUUGCGCCUUUUUUUAAACGACGUAGCCUCCUUAAGCACCUGUCACCCCGCAUUCGUUAGCCCUUUCCUUAAUGAGUUGGAUCUCAAGGCUCUGUCGCUGAUGAGAUACAAGCUGAGUGUGGCGAUUGUUCCGUGUCAGAGCCUGUUAAGUCAGCUGUGGGCGUGCGGGGAUGCGACUGGGGCCAUGAUUAAAUGUUGAUAGCAAUGAUGUGCAAUCAGCGAUUAAAAACGGGCCAUUCGCUGACGGCUAAUGCUCGGUUUAACCUCUGACUGCCGAGACUGCGAGCUGAAGAGGGAGACAGAACGACGGGAAUAAUGCAAACACAAUGUAGCUACUGUGUGUGAGAGCUGACGCAGUGGCUGGGAAAGAAAGUGCGAAUAAGGUGCGAUACACCGGAGAGGAGGCACAUGCAGAGAGAGGUGGAGGACGAAGGGAGGAAAAAAAGGAGACAGCGCCACCAGGUGGACAUUAUACUGCAACGAGCCUCACAAAAUUUUUUGUUUCUAGAAAACUGUUUGCUAAUGAGACACUCCAGCCAUUACAACGAGAUUGACAGCGGGCCUACAGAUGAUCAGGAACGGUGUACUAUCCUCCAAAAACAGCAGAGGGCGCAGUUCCUCACAUUAACUUUCACGGAGGUGAGCUCAGUCUCUGCAACAACACUUCCUUCUCGAAUAAUUUAUUCGUAUU